Molecule: ribosomal RNA, 508 nt
Filed under: uncultured Oscillibacter sp.
Lineage: Bacteria; Bacillati; Bacillota; Clostridia; Eubacteriales; Oscillospiraceae
Description: partial 16S ribosomal RNA
Source: RNAcentral
CACGUAGUUAGCCGUGGCUUAUUCAAGGGGGUACCGUCUUCUACUCUUCCCCCUUAAAAGAAGUUUACAACCCGAAAGCCUUCUUCCUUCACGCGGCGUUGCUGGGUCAGACUUGCGUCCAUUGCCCAAUAUUCCCCACUGCUGCCUCCCGUAGGAGUCUGGGCCGUAUCUCAGUCCCAAUGUGGCCGGCCAACCUCUCAGUCCGGCUACUGAUCGUCGCCUUGGUGGGCCAUUACCGUCACCAACUAGCUAAUCAGACGCGAGGCCAUCUUUCGGCGAUAAAUCUUUGACAUUCAGACCAUGCGAUCCAAAUGUAUCAUGCGGUAUUAGCAGUCGUUUCCAACUGUUGUCCCCCUCGAAAGGCAGGUUCCUCACGCGUUACUCACCAGUCCGCCACUAAGCAUUCCUAUCCCGUUAGUCCGAAAACUCCUUCAAGGGUGCUCCGUUCGACUUGCAUGUGUUAAGCACGCCGCCAGCGUUCGUCCUGACGCCAGGACUCGAAACUCUA